Molecule: long non-coding RNA, 466 nt
Organism: Homo sapiens (human)
Lineage: Eukaryota; Metazoa; Chordata; Mammalia; Primates; Hominidae
Source: Ensembl
CUCAACUGUGCCCUGUCACCUCUCACCCUGCUGCUGGAGAGGCUCGGUUUGCUCCUGGAAGUCGUGACUGUGAAACGUGGAUGUUUUGCUGUGACGUCCAUUGCUACUCUCAUGCUGGGGUCCUGCUCUCUCUGUCCAGGUUCCGUCACCGCAGAGCUGGACAUCAAGGCCGAGGACCUUCUCAGUGGGCAGAAGUGUGUCUCUACAAAUAGUGCCAGUGUGGGGCCUUGAGCACUGCCAAGAGGUUUUGCCCCAGGGGCUUCCAGGAGGCCUUGCCAUCGUCAGUGCAUGAUACCACCUCCCUGGGUCUGAGGCUGCGUCCUGGAGUGCAUGGGUCCCUCCGAGGGACUAGGACCGGCAGAUACUCAGCGUCCACAACUAUGAACACCUGAGCAGAGGCGGGCUGGGAUCCAGGCCCAGCUUGCUGGAAGCUUCUCCAUGGGAUCUCUCAGGAUCCCCAUUUUCU